This 421-nucleotide ribosomal RNA is filed under the name Fusobacteriota bacterium. Its description in RNAcentral is "Fusobacteria bacterium partial 16S ribosomal RNA". It matches the Rfam family "Bacterial small subunit ribosomal RNA", at positions 355 to 776 of the family's 1533-position model. Lineage: Bacteria; Fusobacteriati; Fusobacteriota. The record is from RNAcentral.
UGGGGAAUCUUGCGCAAUGGCCUAACGGCUGACGCAGCGACGCCGCGUGAGGGAUGACGCUCUUCGGAGUGUAAACCUCUUUUGCCCGGGACGAAUUGCCAACUUUAGUUGGCUUGACGGUACCGGGUGAAUAAGCACCGGCUAACUCCGUGCCAGCAGCCGCGGUAAUACGGGGGGUGCGAGCGUUGUCCGGAAUCACUGGGCGUAAAGGGCGCGUAGGUGGUCUUAUAAGGGUGUGGUGAAAGCCCGGGGCUCAACCCCGGGUCGGCCGUGCCGACUGUAAGACUAGAGUGCUGUAGGGGCAGGGGGAAUUCCGGGUGUAGCGGUGGAAUGCGUAGAGAUCCGGAGGAAGACCGGUGGCGAGGGCGGCCUGCUGGGCAGAUACUGACACUGAGGCGCGACAGCGUGGGGAGCAAACAGG